This 116-nucleotide microRNA precursor is filed under the name Pelobates cultripes (western spadefoot toad). The record is from RNAcentral. Lineage: Eukaryota; Metazoa; Chordata; Amphibia; Anura; Pelobatidae.
GUGUGUGUGUGUGUGUGUGUGUGUGUGUGUGUGUGUGUGUGUGUGUGUAUAUAUAUAUAUAUAUAUAUAUGUACACACACACACACACACACACACUCACAGACACACAGACACAC